GCCAGGCGCCCUGGGUUUGCCUGUAGUUCCAGCUACUCUGGAGGCUAAGGCAGAAGGAUCACUUGAGCCUAGAAGUUCUGGGCUGCAGUGCGCUACACUGUCCAGGUGUCUGCACUAAGUUGGGCUUGAAUAUGGUGACCUGUGGAAGCCAAGGGAUUACCACGUUGCCUAAGGAGGAGUAAACCAACCUAGGAGGGAAAUGGAGCAGGUCAAAACUGCCACACUGAUCGAGUAGCCACUGCACUCUAGCCUGGGCAACAUGAGACCUUGUCUUUG
Molecule: non-coding RNA, 276 nt
Organism: Nomascus leucogenys (northern white-cheeked gibbon)
Lineage: Eukaryota; Metazoa; Chordata; Mammalia; Primates; Hylobatidae
Rfam family: Metazoan signal recognition particle RNA
About the family: The signal recognition particle (SRP) is a universally conserved ribonucleoprotein.
Source: Rfam